CCGGCACGGUGAGUAACGCGUAUGCAACUUGCCUAUCAGAGGGGGAUAACCCGGCGAAAGUCGGACUAAUACCGCAUGAAGCAGGGGCCCCGCAUGGGGAUAUUUGCUAAAGAUUCAUCGCUGAUAGAUAGGCAUGCGUUCCAUUAGGCAGUUGGCGGGGUAACGGCCCACCAAACCGACGAUGGAUAGGGGUUCUGAGAGGAAGGUCCCCCACAUUGGUACUGAGACACGGACCAA
This 237-nucleotide ribosomal RNA is filed under the name uncultured bacterium. RNAcentral describes it as "partial 16S ribosomal RNA". It matches the Rfam family "Bacterial small subunit ribosomal RNA", at positions 105 to 334 of the family's 1533-position model. The record is from RNAcentral.